CCUACGGGUGGCAGCAGUGGGGAAUAUUGCACAAUGGGGGAAACCCUGAUGCAGCGACGCCGCGUGAGUGAAGAAGUAAUUCGUUAUGUAAAGCUCUAUCAGCAGGGAAGAAAAUGACGGUACCUGAGUAAGAAGACCCGGCUAACUACGUGCCAGCAGCAGCGGUAAUAAGUAGGGGGCAAGCGUUAUCCGGAUUUACUGGGUGUAAAGGGAGGGUAGACGGCAGGGCAAGUCUGGAGUGAAAGGCGGGGGCUCAACCCCCGGACUGCUCUGGAAACUGUACGUCUGGAGUGCAGGAGAGGUAAGUGGAAUUCCUAGUGUAGCGGUGAAAUGCGUAGAUAUUAGGAGGAACACCAGUGGCGAAGGCGGCUUACUGGACUGUAACUGACGUUGAGGCUCGAAAGCGUGGGGAGCAAACAGGAUUAGAUACCCUGGUAGUC
Molecule: ribosomal RNA, 440 nt
Filed under: uncultured bacterium
Lineage: Bacteria
Description: partial 16S ribosomal RNA
Rfam family: Bacterial small subunit ribosomal RNA
Source: RNAcentral